AUUUUAUGAUACAAGAAAGAUAACUCAUACUUAACUGAAAAUAAAUGUGUAACACAACUUGAUGCACAUCACAAUUGGACAGUGGUUAGUGUGCAUCAUAUAGAUAUUAUAUAUAUGUAUGUAUGGAAGAAUUAAAUAUGUGUUACUAUGUUAUGAUAAUAGGAGUUGAAAUACUGGUUGGUUUUUGUUUUUUGUUAUGUGAUUUCCAGAUAUUGUUAGAGUAUGCCACUAUAUAUAUUAUGAUAUGAGUACAUGUAUGAAUAGAAUAAUU
Molecule: long non-coding RNA, 271 nt
Filed under: Mytilus galloprovincialis (Mediterranean mussel)
Lineage: Eukaryota; Metazoa; Mollusca; Bivalvia; Mytilida; Mytilidae
Source: RNAcentral